Molecule: non-coding RNA, 21 nt
Organism: Caenorhabditis elegans
Lineage: Eukaryota; Metazoa; Nematoda; Chromadorea; Rhabditida; Rhabditidae
Source: Ensembl
UUAGGAAACCGAUUCCCUAAA